UGGCUGUGAGAAGACCCUAAGACGGGAAGCUGUGUGCAGGGCACUUGAGGGCCCGCUGGGGAGAAGCCGCCUGUGAGGGACAGGACCGGGCAGGGAAGGCCACCAGCCAUGCGGUCACAGCCCAGGACUCCGCCAGUCCUGCAGGAGCCCUGGAGCCAGGCCCUUGCUGUCCAGGCCACUUGCUGUACCUGGCCCACAGCUACCUCCCCUGCAGCCCUGAGUCCUGCUUGCUGUGCCCGGCUCAGGCUGAGACUGCAGUGCUUGUCCAUUCACCAUGAAAGAAAGAAGAACAGGAAGGGAGGCAGGAGGAAAUUGAAAGAACACCCAACCAAGAGGAGAGAAAACAGCAUUCUAAAUAUCGGAAGGAAACGAAACCUCGCCUCAGGCAUGCGGGCUCUGACGGGCAGGAUGGCGGCACGGAGGGCUGCUGUAUCCAGUGAAGGCAGCAGUUCAGAUGAGACAGAUAACUCCCUUAAAAGACACAAAUUACCAAGACUGACGCAAAC
RNAcentral lists this small RNA (506 nucleotides) under Pan troglodytes (chimpanzee). Its description in RNAcentral is "processed transcript". The record is from RNAcentral. Lineage: Eukaryota; Metazoa; Chordata; Mammalia; Primates; Hominidae.